This 774-nucleotide ribosomal RNA is filed under the name uncultured Neocallimastigales. RNAcentral's name for it is "partial large subunit ribosomal RNA". It matches the Rfam family "Eukaryotic large subunit ribosomal RNA", at positions 23 to 645 of the family's 3401-position model. Lineage: Eukaryota; Fungi; Neocallimastigomycota; Neocallimastigomycetes; Neocallimastigales. The record is from RNAcentral.
AGAGAGAGACAUGCGCGCAUAUCAAUAAGCGGAGGAAAAGAAACUAACUAGGAUUCCCUCAGUAACGGCGAGUGAAGCGGGAAGAGCUCAAAUUUGAAAUCUUCAAGGUUCUACCUUGACGAAUUGUAGUUUAAAGAAGUGUUUUCUGUUGAAGUUUUGGUAAAAGUUCUUUGGAAUAGGACAUCAUAGAGGGUGAGAAUCCCGUAUUUGACCAUUACUUUCCAGCUUUGUGAUACACUUUCAAAGAGUCGGAUUGUUUGGGAAUGCAGUCCAAAAUGGGUGGUAAAUUUCAUCUAAAGCUAAAUAUUGGCGAGAGACCGAUAGCGAACAAGUACCGUGAGGGAAAGAUGAAAAGAACUUUGAAAAGAGAGUUAAACAGUACGUGAAAUUGUCAAAAGGGAAGCGUUUGACACCAGUGUUGUUUUCUCGAAAAUCAAUUAAAAAAGGCAGGAUUUUGUGUUGUAUUGACUUUAUCAGCUUUCUGCACUCUUUUCUUGUCUUUUUUAAUGCACUUUUCGUUUAACAAGUCAACAUCAAUUUCUUUUGUUGUAAAAGGGUCAUUGGAAGGUGGCUUUCUUUUCGGAGAAAGUGUUUAUAGCCUUUGGCCUCUGCAAUCGGAGAGAUUGAGGUCUGCAGCGUAGAUCCUUCGGGGUUAGAUACAUUUGUGCUAAGUUAUAGCCUUUCAUAGACAACUUGUUGACUAUGAUCAGUCAUGUAGCUUACUCGCUUAUGCUAUUUUACCUACGCUUAGGAUGUUGAUGUGAUACUGCGAGC